This 497-nucleotide ribosomal RNA is filed under the name uncultured bacterium. Its description in RNAcentral is "partial 16S ribosomal RNA". It matches the Rfam family "Bacterial small subunit ribosomal RNA", at positions 28 to 507 of the family's 1533-position model. The record is from RNAcentral.
GAUGAACGCUGGCGGCGUGCCUAAUACAUGCAAGUCGAGCGAACGGACGAUAAGCUUGUUUCUCUGCUGUUAGCGGCGGACGGGUGAGUAACACGUGGAUAACCUUCCUAUAAUACUGGGAUAACUUCGGGAAACCGGUACUAAUACCGGAGGAUAUUAUGAACCGCAUGGUUCAAAAGUGAAAGACGGUCUUGCUGUCAGUUAUAGAUGGAUCCGCGCUGCAUUAGCUAGUUGGUAAGGUAACGGCUUACCAAGGGAACGAUGCAUAGCCGAGCUGAGAGAGUGUGCGGCCACACUGUGACUCAGAGACGGUCCAGACUCCUAUGGGAGGCAGCAGUAGGGAAUCUUCCGCAAUGGGCGCAAGCCUGACGGAGCAACGCCGCGUGAGUGAUGAAGGUCUUCGGAUCGUAAAGCUCUGUUAUUAGGGAAGAACAUAUGUGUAAGUAACUGUGCACAUCUUGACGGUACCUAAUCAGAAAGCCACGGCUAACUACGUG